CCUACGGGGUGCAGCAGUGGGGAAUAUUGGACAAUGGGCGAAAGCCUGAUCCAGCCAUGCCGCGUGUGUGAAGAAGGCCUUCGGGUUGUAAAGCACUUUCAGUGGGGAAGAAAGCCUUGGGGCUAAUACCCUCGAGGAAGGACAUCACCCACAGAAGAAGCACCGGCUAACUCCGUGCCAGCAGCCGCGGUAAUACGGAGGGUGCGAGCGUUAAUCGGAAUUACUGGGCGUAAAGCGCGCGUAGGCGGUCUGAUAAGCCGGUUGUGAAAGCCCCGGGCUCAACCUGGGAACGGCAUCCGGAACUGUCAGGCUAGAGUGCAGGAGAGGAAGGUAGAAUUCCCGGUGUAGCGGUGAAAUGCGUAGAGAUCGGGAGGAAUACCAGUGGCGAAGGCGGCCUUCUGGACUGACACUGACGCUGAGGUGCGAAAGCGUGGGUAGCAAACAGGAUUAGAUACCCUAGUAGU
This 464-nucleotide ribosomal RNA is filed under the name Vreelandella stevensii. RNAcentral's name for it is "partial 16S ribosomal RNA". It matches the Rfam family "Bacterial small subunit ribosomal RNA", at positions 338 to 794 of the family's 1533-position model. Lineage: Bacteria; Pseudomonadati; Pseudomonadota; Gammaproteobacteria; Oceanospirillales; Halomonadaceae. The record is from RNAcentral.